ACCCAGCUGACGAGCCCUAAAUAGGACGAAACGCGCGUUCUGGAU
This 45-nucleotide non-coding RNA is filed under the name Schistosoma mansoni. Lineage: Eukaryota; Metazoa; Platyhelminthes; Trematoda; Strigeidida; Schistosomatidae. The record is from RNAcentral.